ACAAUCUUUAGAAGACAUCUGAAGGCAGUCCUCUAUAGGGAAGUUUUUAAUGUUUAAUGUUUAAUUAUGUUUUUGUAUACAGGACUGCCUUCAGAUGUCUUCUAAAGGUUGC
Molecule: non-coding RNA, 112 nt
Organism: Podarcis lilfordi (Lilford's wall lizard)
Lineage: Eukaryota; Metazoa; Chordata; Lepidosauria; Squamata; Lacertidae
Source: the annotation of a GenBank genome assembly